RNAcentral lists this small RNA (740 nucleotides) under Pan troglodytes (chimpanzee). RNAcentral's name for it is "processed transcript". Lineage: Eukaryota; Metazoa; Chordata; Mammalia; Primates; Hominidae. The record is from RNAcentral.
CGGUGCCCGCGGACUCAUUCCGCACCAUCAGCCCGGACAGGCGAGGCGAGAAGGCUGCCUCCGCUGUCUCCGGGGACACGGCGGCCGCGACCACCCUGAAGGGCACCGCGAUCCCAGUGCGGUCGGUGGUGGCCUCCCCUCGCCCGGUGAAGGGGAAAGCGGGCCGGGAGACGGCCAGGCUGCGGCUCCAGCGCCUGCCCGCGGCUCAGGCCGAGGACCCGGGAGAGGCGGCGGCGGCGGAGGAGGAGGAGCCCCUGCUGCCAGUGCCUGAGGAUGAAGAGGAGGCGCAGCCCCUGCCCCCAGUCUGCGUGUCCCGUAUGAGGGGGAUGUGGCGGGACGAGAAGGUGUCGCUAUAUUGCGACGAAGUGCUGCAGGACUGUAAGACGGGGUUUCUCCAGUUGGUCAGGCUGGACUCGAACUCCCGACCUCAGGCAGAAGAUGCUGAUGAAGUUAUGGGUAAAUACCUAUCAGAAAAAUUAAAGUUGAAAGACAAAUGGCUUGGAGUCUGGAAGACUAAUCCCAGUGUAUUCUUUGUGAAAUAUGAAGAAGCUUCUAUCCCUUUUGUUGGUAUAUUGGUUGAGAGUUUCGUCCUGUCGCCCAGGCUGGAGUGCAGUGGUGUGAUCUCGGCUACUGCAACCUCUGCCUCCCCGGUUCAAGCGAUUCUCCUGCCCCAGCCUCCCGAGUAGCUGGGAUUACAGGCGCAUGCCACCAUGCCCAGCUAAUUUUUUGUAUCUUUGGUA